Molecule: ribosomal RNA, 456 nt
Filed under: Pleophylla sp. BNHM834773
Lineage: Eukaryota; Metazoa; Arthropoda; Insecta; Coleoptera; Scarabaeidae
Description: partial 16S ribosomal RNA
Rfam family: Bacterial large subunit ribosomal RNA (bases 344-456)
Source: RNAcentral
GUUGAAUGGCCGCAGUAUUUUGACUGUGCGAAGGUAGCAUAAUAAUUAGUUUUUUAAUUGAAAGCUGGAAUGAAUGAUUGGACGAGAAAAAAUCUGUCUCAAUUUUAUUUAAUUAGAAUUUUAUUUUUAAGUAAAAAAGCUUAAAUAUUUUUAAAAGACGAGAAGACCCUAUAGAGUUUUAUAUAUUUAUUUUUUAUUUAUUUUUUAGUAUUAUAGAAUUUAUAUUAUUAAAUAGUAUUUAGUUGGGGUGAUUAAAAAAUUAAUAAAACUUUUUUUUUAUUAUUACAUUAAUAUAUGAUUAAUUGAUCCAUUUUUUAUGAUUAUAAGAUUAAAUUACCUUAGGGAUAACAGCGUUAUUUUUUUUUAGAGUUCUAAUCGAAAAAAAAGUUUGCGACCUCGAUGUUGGAUUAAAAUUAAUAUUUGGUGAAGAAGCUAAGUUAUUAGGUCUGUUCGACC